CUACGGGAGGCACCAGUUAGGAAUAUUCUACAAUGCGCGCAAGCGUGAUAGAUUGAGCCAGAGUGCGUUUCAUUAGAAACGCUUUUGUGAAAUGUAAAAAGUUUCACGAAUAAGGACUGGGUAAGACUAGUGCCAGCCGCCGCGGUAAUACUAGCGGUCCAAGUCGCAGCCAUUUUUAUUGGGUCUAAAACAUCCGUAGCUUGUCUGGUAAGUUUCUUGUGAAAUUUUAUAUCUUAAGUAUAGAGCGUGCAAGAAAUACUGCCAGGCUAGAGACUGGGAGACGUGAGAAGUACGUUCGAAGUAGUGGUAGAAUAUUUUAAUCUCGAACGGACUCACAAUAGCGAAGGCAUCUCACGAGAACAGUUCUGACAGUAAGGGAUGAAGGCUAGGGGCGCAAAACGGAUUAGAUACCCUAGUAGUC
This 421-nucleotide ribosomal RNA is filed under the name uncultured archaeon. Its description in RNAcentral is "partial 16S ribosomal RNA". It matches the Rfam family "Archaeal small subunit ribosomal RNA", at positions 323 to 746 of the family's 1478-position model. The record is from RNAcentral.